Long non-coding RNA from Mastomys coucha (southern multimammate mouse), 1377 nucleotides. RefSeq lists it as uncharacterized. The record is from RefSeq and is a predicted model, not a curated record. Lineage: Eukaryota; Metazoa; Chordata; Mammalia; Rodentia; Muridae. The transcript is spliced from 4 exons.
AUGGAGGCAGCAGGUCUGCCUCUCCACGUUCAGCGAGCCGCGUGGGGUUGCCCUCAGCAAUGGGCCCACUGUCCGUUGGUGACUCCACGUUCCUCCGGUCCUCACGCCCGCGACAGACAGACAAGGCUAGCCUCAAGUUCAGGUCUGUGAACCCAGCCCUCUGCACACAGCACAUCUGAGCUAAAGAUCCUGCGUUACAUUGUUCGUCCUGUGGUUCGUCUGUCCUCAGAUCAGUCUGUCCUGUGGUCACUCUGUCCUGCAGUUCCUCGGACCCUGCCCAACUAGGAAGCACGAUCGUGGAGAGAUUGGGAUCCGGCAGAUCAUGAGCCGAGGUGACCCAGCCAGAGGCAGGCUCCAGGUUCGAGACUCGCCCUCUCUGCUGGAAACGUCAGCGUCAGCGAAGCGCCUGCGAGCCGCUUAGACAUUUGUUCUCCUUGGGAAGCGCUUGUGAUUCCCUGGUAACUUAGGAUUUUCGUCUUGAAAGACAACUCCUUGAGGCAAAAUACUGAAGAUCUGAGUAAAAGGAGAAAAUGAGUCAGAGUCACACAGAGCGGGGUUAUGUUUGGGAACCUGGAAGGCCAUGAGGGACUAAUCAAGGUCCAGCCUGAUUAGUCACUGUUUAUCGGUGAUUACCAAUGAUCAUCAGCGUUUAUCGGUGAUCUCAGCCUCCCUGUACCUCAUGCGGUCAAGCCUGGGCUCAUGUACCGAGAUCUACUAGCACAGAGAGCUGCUUCUGCAGGUCCAGCACCCGUGGGGAAACACCUGUAUUCCUGAAUCCCUGGAAAGCCCUCUGUCACGGCAGCUUCUACUUAGGACUGUGGUUCCAGGACUGGGGACCCAGCAUGCUCUUGUCUCUUCAGUUGAGGGGGGGCAGGAGGAUGUGUCAAUCUCCGGCUUUGUGUCUUCAUCUGUAUGGCUCCUUGGUUUUUCCCUCACCUGUAUGCUCAGUUCCUCAGAUUGAAUUCUACCUGCUAUAGAUAGCUAGAGAAAUUUCUGUGUUCCGAGGAAAAUUUAAAAACUUGUGUCAUGCGGGGCUGGAGAGAUGCUCAGUGGUGAAGAGCAUGUGUCACUCCUAUAGCAGGCCUUGGUUUGCUUUGGGAAUCUUCUGUUGUUACAAAGGAGUGAAACAGGAAAUCAAACUUCCUGCUGGUCGUUCAUCCACGGUGCUUGCAUGAAACCCAUCCAGGGCCAACAACAUUAUUCAGAGGAUAAGGACACUUACUGGCGUCCCUGACAGCCUAGGCUCAACCUCCCAGAAUCCAACUGGUGGGAGGAGAGAGCCAACUUCUACAAUGUUGUCGUCCGAGCUACACAGAGAUACUACGGCACAUGCGUGACCGCCCACUCCCCAACUUAAAAAAUUGUUAAAAAAGGAAA